RNAcentral lists this small nuclear RNA (101 nucleotides) under Bison bison bison. The record is from RNAcentral. Lineage: Eukaryota; Metazoa; Chordata; Mammalia; Artiodactyla; Bovidae.
GUGUUCAUUUGGGCAGCACAUAUACUAAAAUUGGAAUACAGAGAUUAGCAUGGCCCCUGUGCAAGGAUGACAUGCAAAUUCGGGAAGCAUUCCAUAUUUUU